AGAAAGGUAAGCUAAACUAAAGCUCAUAGGUUCAUACCCUAUUUAUGGAUACUCUCCUCUUUCUA
RNAcentral lists this transfer RNA (65 nucleotides) under Cinygmina furcata. RNAcentral describes it as "tRNA-Met". The record is from RNAcentral. RNAcentral also lists the same sequence under 1 other name. Lineage: Eukaryota; Metazoa; Arthropoda; Insecta; Ephemeroptera; Heptageniidae.